This 468-nucleotide ribosomal RNA is filed under the name uncultured bacterium. RNAcentral's name for it is "partial 16S ribosomal RNA". It matches the Rfam family "Bacterial small subunit ribosomal RNA", at positions 28 to 507 of the family's 1533-position model. The record is from RNAcentral.
GACGAACGCUGGCGGCGUGCUUAACACAUGCAAGUCGAACGGAAAGGCCCUGCUUUUGUGGGGUGCUCGAGUGGCGAACGGGUGAGUAACACGUGAGUAACCUGCCCUUGACUUUGGGAUAACUUCAGGCAACUGGGGCUAAUACCUGAUAGGAGCUCCUGCUGCAUGGUGGGGGUUGGAAAGUUUCGGCGGUUGGGGAUGGACUCGCGGCUUAUCAGCUUGUUGGUGGGGUAGUGGCUUACCAAGGCUUUGACGGGUAGCCGGCCUGAGAGGGUGACCGGCCACAUUGGGACUGAGAUACGGCCCAGACUCCUACGGGAGGCAGCAGUGGGGAAUAUUGCACAAUGGGCGGAAGCCUGAUGCAGAAACGCCGCGUGCGGGAUGAAGGCCUUCGGGUUGUAAACCGCUUUCGCCUGUGACGAAGCGUGAGUGACGGUAAUGGGUAAAGAAGCACCGGCUAACUACGUG